RNAcentral lists this microRNA precursor (257 nucleotides) under Malus domestica (apple). Its description in RNAcentral is "miR156l stem-loop (mdm-MIR156l)". Its record names the gene mdm-MIR156l. The record is from miRBase by way of RNAcentral. Lineage: Eukaryota; Viridiplantae; Streptophyta; Magnoliopsida; Rosales; Rosaceae.
GAGAUAGAGAGAGAGACAGAGGCAGAGAGAGAGAAGGUGAAUGGAUGAGGGAGAGUAGUAGAUCACUGGACUAGUAGCGAGUGGUGGUGACAGAAGAGAGUGAGCACACUCGGGCAAUUGUAUAAAGCCAUACCUUUGCGUGAUGUGUGCUCACUUCUCUUUCUGUCAGCCGCACGCCCYCCGCCCYCCGCCCACCGCCCACCGCCUGCGCUGCCCUCCCUUUCAUUAUGUCUUUCUGUGUUCCUCCUCUCGAUCUC